UACGGAGGAUGCGAGCGUUAUCCGGAUUUAUUGGGUUUAAAGGGUGCGUAGGCGGAUCGUUAAGUCAGUGGUCAAAUUGAGGGGCUCAACCCCUUCCCGCCAUUGAAACUGGCGAUCUUGAGUGGAAGAGAAGUAUGCGGAAUGCGUGGUGUAGCGGUGAAAUGCAUAGAUAUCACGCAGAACCCCGAUUGCGAAGGCAGCAUGCCGGCUUCCGACUGACGCUGAAGCACGAAAGCGUGGGGAUCGAGCAGG
This 252-nucleotide ribosomal RNA is filed under the name uncultured bacterium. RNAcentral describes it as "partial 16S ribosomal RNA". It matches the Rfam family "Bacterial small subunit ribosomal RNA", at positions 524 to 776 of the family's 1533-position model. The record is from RNAcentral.